GCCUGAGUGGCUCAGUGGUUGAGCGCCUGCCUUUGGCUCAGGGUGUCAUCCCAGGGUCCUGGGAUCGAGUCCCACAUCAGGCU
RNAcentral lists this transfer RNA (83 nucleotides) under Canis lupus familiaris (dog). It matches the Rfam family "tRNA". From Rfam's summary of the family: Transfer RNA (tRNA) molecules are approximately 80 nucleotides in length. Their secondary structure includes four short double-helical elements and three loops (D, anti-codon, and T loops). Lineage: Eukaryota; Metazoa; Chordata; Mammalia; Carnivora; Canidae. RNAcentral also lists the same sequence under 1 other name. The record is from Rfam by way of RNAcentral.